ACAGGAAGAUGUGUCACCUUGUCAUUACAGUUUCGUUCACUAAUAAUGUUACUCAAUUUCAUGGAACAAAAUUUCAUCUCAUUUUGAGGUUACAUUGAGAAGCAGAGCGUCUUUUAGGCUUAAAAAUCUAGCACCAGAUAGAUUCAUUAUAAAAUAAAAUUUAUUAACGAUGUUUUUUUUUUUUUUAAUUUUAGCUUGAGUAUCUAGUUUUUAGGCUUGCGCCAAAACUCUUGAAUUAUAAAAUAUAGGCUUCUCAUCAAGAUUUAGUUAAUAUUUCUAACAGUGAUUUAAAAUAGAAUUUUGGUUUUUAAAUUUUCAAGCCCUCCAAGGAAAUCUUCAUCUUAGCCAGAUUUGAAAUAUUAAAUCUAAUUUUCUUAAGAUAAUACAAGUUCUAAAAAGCCUAAACGCUAGCACUACUUCAGUUGGUUUCGUUUGUGAAUAAACUUCUCUAUUAAAGAAAAAAAAGUGUAUUUUAUGACAGCAAUCCUGUCUCGAAAGUUUCAUUCUUCGCCACUGCAAGCUGUUAUACAAUGGGGAUACAACAUAAAGUCUUGUUUCUAUAUCUCUUUUUCAUAGGCGUGGGAGGAACUGAGGACCGUGACCUAGGAUGGUUUGGGAACCACUGUGAACAUAAGUGUACAUGUAUUCACAAUAGAUGUUUGGAAGAUGACCAAUGCAAUUCAGGAGUUAGCGACAGAACGAAUGAAUUGUUGGUGACAUCAUUUCCUUCGCUGAGCCCUGAGCUAGUACUAGAUGACAACGAUGACACAUGUACAGGGAACAUAACCAUGCUUCAUUUGCAGUUUUUAACUCCUUUGCAAUUAUCAGGGCUAAGAUUAACCCUAAGACAUGAUGGCAAGUAACAAAGUGGGCAAAUAUUUAAACAGGCAAAUAUGUAAACAUGCAAAUAUGUAAACAUGCAAAAAAUGUCAAAAUAACUUCUAAAGAUGGUAAAAGACUUGCAUGAUAGCAUUAAAUGCUCAUACGAUAUGGGCGGGUGUUCCUAAAGUAGUUCGUAGAUAACGUUGUCCCAACGAUACGUUGAGGAAGUAGAUGUUUUCAAGUCAGAGAAUAUUUUACUCAAGGCGUAACCAUUAAGCCUUUAACUUAGGCGGCCACGUCGCUUAAAAUUAAGCCUUUCAUCUUUUUCUCAUAUCUUCAUCCGCAUCUUCAUCUACAUUUUCAUCGAACUCACAUUCUCAUCUUCAUUUACAUUUUUGUCUACAUCUACAACUUCAACUUCAUCUACAUUUGAAUCUACAUCUUCAUGUACAUCAGUGGUUCUCAAACUUUUUAGCUCGGCGAUCCUACACUUUCUCACUAUACGGCGACCUCCACACGUAAAAUAUUUUCGUAAAUAAAUAGAAGUAAUUGUGCCUACGCUAAUGUUAUAAUGUAAAACAUAGUUUAAAUAUCUGAUAUGCAUUGACAACAUUUUAUGCUUAUGGCGUAUUAUUAAUUAAAAACGAAUUUUUUUAGAAAUAAUGUCAUGAUUCCACAAUGACAUAACGUCAUAUGUAAUUACUCAGACAACAGGCUUCACU
Biomphalaria glabrata is the source of this 1544-nucleotide long non-coding RNA. RefSeq lists it as uncharacterized. Lineage: Eukaryota; Metazoa; Mollusca; Gastropoda; Planorbidae. The record is from RefSeq and is a predicted model, not a curated record. The transcript has 4 exons.